UCCCUGGUGGCUCAGAUGGUAAAGAAUCUGCCUGCAAUGUAGGAGACCCAGGUUCGAUUCCUGGGUUGGGAA
Molecule: transfer RNA, 72 nt
Filed under: Bos taurus (domestic cattle)
Lineage: Eukaryota; Metazoa; Chordata; Mammalia; Artiodactyla; Bovidae
Also listed under: 5 other names
Rfam family: tRNA
About the family: Transfer RNA (tRNA) molecules are approximately 80 nucleotides in length. Their secondary structure includes four short double-helical elements and three loops (D, anti-codon, and T loops).
Source: Rfam by way of RNAcentral